Molecule: long non-coding RNA, 1187 nt
Organism: Mesocricetus auratus (golden hamster)
Lineage: Eukaryota; Metazoa; Chordata; Mammalia; Rodentia; Cricetidae
Exons: 3
Source: RefSeq, a predicted model, not a curated record
UGAGAGAAACCCUGUCUUGGAAAAAGCUGAGAGAGGAAGAAGAGAGAGAGGAGGGGGAGGGGAGAGAAGCUGAGAGAAGCCUCCCUUGACUUUGAGGAGACUGAGUCACAUUCCAAAGGGAGUCAGAAGUCGGUGUAAGCAAAGCAGAACUGAAAACCGGGAGGGGCGUUCCAACGUGGUGAACAGCGACUUUGGGCACCAGCACUGGCUGUCCUGGAACACACUUUACAGACCAGGCUGGCUUCAAACUCAGAGAUGGACCUGCCUCUGCCUAGGAUCAAAGGCAUGUACCACGAUGCCCGGCUACACAUGCAAUUCUCAUCUUCAUUUUACAGAGGAGGCAUCAGAAGCACAGAAAGAUGGGAUAACGAACUGAUCACACAAUGCAAGCUUGCUCUGAGAGACACCAAGUCAUCAAAAGGGCUAGAGAGAUGCUGUGGUGGGUUAGAGGAUCCACUGCUCUUACGGGGACCUGAUUCAGUUCCAUCAACCGCCUCAGGUGGCACACAGCAGCCUGUAACCAGCUUCAGAGGUCUGACACUCUUAGCUUCCACGCUUGCACACACAGUGCUACCAAAAAGAGAAGAAAAGGAAGGAGAGCAUGUGGAACUAGAAAUAAGCUCCCCUGCUCUCUUAUUUUGAACCUAAAUAUCUUUCAGUCUCCCUAAUAUGCUUUCUUACACUAAGUUAUUAGUUUGAAAAGAGGCGCAUCUUUGAAACAAUUAGUCUUGACAAUUCUUUUAUUUUUUUUGAGACAGGGUUUUUUAAGUUCUGGCUGCCUGGAACUCUUCAUGUAGACUAGGCUGACCUUGAAUUCAUAGAGAUCCGCUUACUUCUGCUUCUCUAGUGCUCAAGGCUGUGGUGGCGCACGCCUUUAAUCCCAGCACUUGGGAGGCAGAGGCAGGCGGAUCUCUGUGAGUUCGAGGCCAGCCUGGUCUAUAAGAGCUAGUUCCAGGACAGCCUCCAAAGCCACAGAGAAACCUUGUCUCGAAAAACCAAAAGAAAAAAAAAACAAAAAAAAACCCAAAAAACAAAACAAAAAACCCAGCACUUAUGCUAAACUCUGUCUUUUUCAGUAGCAUUACACUGAAACAUUUUUAUAUCAUUAAAUAUUCUCCUACACUGUAAUUUUAAAUACCCCCAUGGCACUUGGUUAUGUGAAUAUAUAAUAAAUUACUUAACAAAUC